GCCGAGCGCGCGUUUGAAAAGCGUCCUGGUCUCGGUUUUUGUAACUGCGAAAAUUCGGCAAAGCAGUGUGAUUCAUAAGAGAACAUUCCCGAUCGUUAAACCAACACCCGUGUCUCCGAUACACGAGUGAGCAACUGGACUGGCGAGCCGAUUCUUCUCAGACCGACCAUCAACAAUCCUGAAAUGGAUUCGGCCAUUUUUGGAUAUUUUCUGCAGGAAAUGAUAUCCUUACGAUAAAGAGAAAACCAAUAGGUGGCAUCAGCAAAAAUUAUCUGAAGGACCUGAUGUUGUGCCUGCUACAUCAACCAACUCCAGGGGUUUACUCCCUAAAUGGGGAUUCAGCCUUCUGUAGACCUCUAUCAGCUACAUAUUACAGAUGGAGGAGGAAGGGGCAAAAAAGAGAUGCCGACUCCAGGAUGAAGAUGUGUAGACACUCCAAUUAGAAUUAUGGCUGAGUCAUGAAGUGCUGGGUGUGGAUAACCUCAGUGACAGUGGUUCCUGGUUUUGGGGAUAUUUAGUACAGAAAGGAGAAAAAUGUCCAGGGUCUUAAGCUCCUAAGCAUGCUUUACAUAUUUAAGUUCUUU
Polypterus senegalus (gray bichir) is the source of this 584-nucleotide long non-coding RNA. RefSeq lists it as uncharacterized. Lineage: Eukaryota; Metazoa; Chordata; Cladistia; Polypteriformes; Polypteridae. The record is from RefSeq and is a predicted model, not a curated record. The transcript is spliced from 7 exons.